Molecule: ribosomal RNA, 1976 nt
Filed under: human oral metagenome
Description: bacterial LSU rRNA
Rfam family: Bacterial large subunit ribosomal RNA
Source: RNAcentral
GAAAGUACAAAAGGGCGUACGGUGGAUGCCUAGGCUCUUACAGGCGAUGAAGGACGUGAUAAGCUGCGAUAAGCUGUGGGUAGGUGCAAAUGACCAUUGAUCCGCAGAUUUCCGAAUGGGACAACCCGGCAGGUUGAAGACCUGUCAUCCCGCUAAGCGGGAGGCUAACGAGGGGAACUGAAACAUCUUAGUACCCUCAGGAAAAGAAAAUAAUAAUGAUUCCCUUAGUAGUGGCGAGCGAACGGGGAAGAGCCCAAACCGUGGAGGUCUCGGCCUUCACGGGGUUGUAGGACCACGAUGUUGGACUUGGUUCGAUUAGAGGAACGUUUUGGAAAGAACGACCAUAGAGAGUGACAGUCUCGUACUCGACAAUCGAAUCGGCCAUAGUGGUAUCCUGAGUAGGGCGGGACACGUGAAAUCCUGUCUGAAUCCGGCGGGCCCAUCCGCCAAGGCUAAAUACUCGUAAGAGACCGAUAGCGAACCAGUACCGUGAGGGAAAGGUGAAAAGCACCUCUGUCAGAGGAGUGAAAAAGUUCCUGAAACCGUACGCCUACAAGCGGUCGGAGCAACGUAAGUUGUGACGGCGUGCCUUUUGCAUAAUGAACCUACGAGUUGCCGUCGUCGGCAAGGUUAAGCGCAAUGAUGCGCGCAACCGAAGCGAAAGCGAGUCUGAAUAGGGCGCAUAGUCGGCGGUGGCAGACGCGAAACCAAGUGAUCUACCCUUGUCCAGGUUGAAGUCCCGGUAACACGGGAUGGAGGACCGAACCGAUAAGCGUUGAAAAGCUUCCGGAUGAGGUGAGGGUAGGAGUGAAAGGCCAAUCAAACUUGGAGAUAGCUCGUACUCCCCGAAAUGCAUUUAGGUGCAGCCUCGGGUAAGGUACUGAUGAGAGGUAGAGCGACUGAUUGGAUGCGAGGGCUUCACCGCCUAUCAAGUCCGGCCAAACUCCGAAUGCUCAUCAGCAACAUCCCGGGAGUGAGGGCAUGGGUGCUAAGGUCCAUGUCCGAGAGGAGAAGAAUCCAGAUCACCGGCUAAGGUCCCCAAAUAGCAGCUAAGUUGCAUUAACGAAGUCCGACCGCAGCGACAGCCAGGAUGUUGGCUUGGAAGCAGCCAUUCAUUUAAAGAGUGCGUAACAGCUCACUGGUCGAGGGUCCGGGCAUGGAUAAUAAUCGGGUAUAAGGCAGACACCGAAGCCGCGGGAUAGUAAUGUAUAUUAAAAGUAUCGGUAGGGGAGCAUUCCAUCGGCGUUGAAUGCAGUAGGACGACUACUGCUGGAGCUUAUGGAAAAGCAAAUGUAGGUAUAAGUAACGAUAAGGAGGGUAAGAUUCCCUCCCGCCGUAAGACUAAGGUUUCCCGGGCAAUGCCAAUCAUCCCGGGGUCAGUCGGGUCCUAAGGCUCAGCCGAACGGCGAGGCCGAUGGCAGAAAGGGUUAAUAUUCCCUUACUGCCGCACGGAGCGACGCGGAGACGGAGGCGUGACACCACCGCGGAGAUACGGAAUUCUCCGUUGAAGAGCGUAGGCGUUGAGGGCGGCAGGCAAAUCCACCGCCCGAGUCGAAUCUCGAAAGUAUGCCUUUCCCUUCGGGGCGAGGCAAUAGCGUGGGUAACCAUACUCCCGAGAAAAUCCGCUAAGCUCAAUCCGUGCGGCACCCGUACCGCAAACGGACACACGUAGUCGGGUAGAACAUACUGAGGCGUUGAGAGAUUCAUGGUUAAGGAACUAGGCAAACUGACCCCGUAACUUCGGGAUAAGGGGUCCUCGUCGCAAGGCGAGGCGCAGAGAAUAGGUCCAGGCAACUGUUUAACAAAAACACAGGGCUGUGCAAACUCGAAAGAUGAGGUAUACAGCCUGACACCUGCCCGGUGCCGGAAGGUUAAGAGGAGAGCUUAGAACGCAAGUUCGAGGGUUUGAAUUGAAGCCCCGGUAAACGGCGGCCGUAACUAUAACGGUCCUAAGGUAGCGAAAUUCCUUGUCGGGU